Molecule: ribosomal RNA, 253 nt
Filed under: uncultured bacterium
Lineage: Bacteria
Description: partial 16S ribosomal RNA
Rfam family: Bacterial small subunit ribosomal RNA
Source: RNAcentral
UACAGAGGUCUCAAGCGUUGUUCGGAAUCAUUGGGCGUAAAGGGUGCGUAGGCGGCGUGGAAUGUCAGAUGUGAAAUCCGGUGGCUCAACCCCCGAAUUGCAUCCGAAACCUCCAUGCUCGAGAGUCGUAGAGGAGCCUGGAAUUCUCGGUGUAGCAGUGAAAUGCGUAGAUAUCGAGAGGAACGCUCGUGGCGAAGGCGAGGCUCUGGGCGACUUCUGACGCUGAUGCACGAAGGCUGGGGGAGCAAACGGG